RNAcentral lists this ribosomal RNA (484 nucleotides) under uncultured bacterium. RNAcentral describes it as "bacterial SSU rRNA". It matches the Rfam family "Bacterial small subunit ribosomal RNA", at positions 30 to 507 of the family's 1533-position model. The record is from RNAcentral.
AUUGAACGCUGGCGGCAUGCCUUACACAUGCAAGUCGAACGGCAGCACGGGAGCAAUCCUGGUGGCGAGUGGCGAACGGGUGAGUAAUAUAUCGGAACGUGCCCGGUCGUGGGGGAUAACGUAGCGAAAGCUACGCUAAUACCGCAUACGAUCUACGGAUGAAAGCGGGGGAUCGCAAGACCUCGCGCGAUUGGAGCGGCCGAUAUCAGAUUAGGUAGUUGGUGAGGUAAAGGCUCACCAAGCCGACGGUCUGUAGCUGGUCUGAGAGGACGACCAGCCACACUGGGACUGAGACACGGCCCAGACUCCUACGGGAGGCAGCAGUGGGGAAUUUUGGACAAUGGGCGCAAGCCUGAUCCAGCAAUGCCGCGUGCAGGAUGAAGGCCUUCGGGUUGUAAACUGCUUUUGUACGGAACGAAACGGUGAGCUCUAAUACAGUUUGCUAAUGACGGUACCGUAAGAAUAAGCACCGGCUAACUACGUG